ACAGCUUGAACAACUUUUAUUUUUUUUUAAAGUGCUUAAAACGUAAAUAACAAGCUCUUUAUAAACAUUAGUUGCAACUCUUAAAACAUGAGACACACAGAACCCACUUCCUGCGGACGUGAAGAACAGGGAAACCAACAACUCCAAAAACCCUGACACUUCUCCCACCUGGGGAUGUUCUUCCAGGUUUUUAACCCCAAACACGGCUGAGUCUAAGUCACACUGCAGAAUCCACAUCCCUUCAGGUUUGUUCCAGUUUGAGGAUAAACCCUGGUGGUUCUUCUGACCCACACAUGGCCAGGAGGACCAGGCAAGGGGAAAAGAAAUCAUUGGCCAAAGUUCUUGACAAGCAAAAAACCCACCUGUGGGCUGACAGCAAGGGCAGAGCACAGCACCCUGCUGCAGCCCUGAGUGUGGAAAAACAAACUCCAGGAGAAAGGCAAAACCACAGGGAAUUGUUAUGGCUGUGUUGAAAACAGAACAGGGAGAAGCUGCUGCUGGCCCAGAAAAUCUUUGGGGUGUGCUGGGCUCAGCAGAGAGGGACAGAGCUCAAGCACAGCCAGGACACGGAGCAGGAGCGCUGCUCCUGCCCCUGGGAUCCCAAAUAAAUCACUAAACAGGAGAUUCAGUCACUAAACACAGAGAUAAAUCCCAGAAGGGCAACUUGAGAACAUUUCCCCAGUUCUCCUCCUCAUCCCCUCCCUCUCUGAGGAAGCAUUCAGGUCCUCAAAACCAUUCCCCAAAGCAUGUGGAGGUUGAACAGCAACACUGCAGACUCCACUCCAGGGCUGCUGUGCUGCUCUGGUGCACAGAACAGAAACUGUGUGCUGAGGGGGAAACCCCAGGGUGGGGAAACAGAGAACAGGAACAUCUGUAAGACACAAGGAGGGACCUCUGGGCCGCUGAACACUCAGGGACAGACAGGGAACAUCCUUCACCGCUCAACCUCUGCAGCCCCACCCAGCUCCAGCAGCAAGGAGCUGUGCACACCUUGGCUCUGGAGAUGGGAGGGGCAGAGAGUGCUGCAAACAGGAGGUGGAAGGAGCAGGGGCUGCUGGAAAGGCAGGAGAUGAGGGAAUAGAACAGGAAUUGCUGUGCUGGAAAGGCAGAUGAGAGAAUAGAACAGGAAUUGCUGGAAAGGCAGAUGAGGGAAUAGAACAGGAAUUGCUGGAAAGGCAGGAGAUGAGGGAACAGGUAUUGCUGGAAAGGCAGAUGAGGGAAUAGAACAGGCAUGGCUGGAAACAGGAGAUGUGGAAGCACUUGUUGAUGGAAAGGCAGGAAAAGAGAGAAUAAAACAAGAAUUGCUGGAAAGGCAUGAGAUAGGGGAACAAGUAUUCCUGGAAAGGCAGGAGAUGAGGGGACAGGAAUUGCUGGAAAGACAGGAGAAGUGGGAACAGGUAUUCCUGGAAAGGCAGGAGAUGAGGGAACAGGAAAUCCUGGAAAGACAGGAGAAGUGGGAACAGGUAUUGCUGGAAAGGCAGGAGAUGAGGCAACAGGAAAUCCUGGAAAGACAGAAGAAGUGGGAACAGGUAUUGCUGGAAAGGCAGGAGAUGAAGAAACAGG
This is a long non-coding RNA of Ficedula albicollis (Collared flycatcher), 1563 nucleotides long. RefSeq lists it as uncharacterized. The record is from RefSeq and is a predicted model, not a curated record. Lineage: Eukaryota; Metazoa; Chordata; Aves; Passeriformes; Muscicapidae. The transcript has 2 exons.